CAAAUGCUGUAUGAUGAAAAAAAGAGUGAUCCAUCGUCUUAGAUACAAUGCUGACUCUAAAAUUGUCUGACAGCAUUUU
Molecule: small nucleolar RNA, 79 nt
Filed under: Neogobius melanostomus (round goby)
Lineage: Eukaryota; Metazoa; Chordata; Actinopteri; Gobiiformes; Gobiidae
Description: Small nucleolar RNA SNORD71 (ENSNMLG00000008989.1)
Rfam family: Small nucleolar RNA SNORD71
About the family: snoRNA HBII-239 belongs to the family of C/D snoRNAs.
Source: Rfam by way of RNAcentral